UGGGAGCUUGCUCCCUGAUGUUAGCGGCGGACGGGUGAGUAACACGUGGGUAACCUGCCUGUAAGACUGGGAUAACUCCGGGAAACCGGGGCUAAUACCGGAUGGUUGUUUGAACCGCAUGGUUCAAACAUAAAAGGUGGCUUCGGCUACCACUUACAGAUGGACCCGCGGCGCAUUAGCUAGUUGGUGAGGUAAUGGCUCACCAAGGCAACGAUGCGUAGCCGACCUGAGAGGGUGAUCGGCCACACUGGGACUGAGACACGGCCCAGACUCCUACGGGAGGCAGCAGUAGGGAAUCUUCCGCAAUGGACGAAAGUCUGACGGAGCAACGCCGCGUGAGUGAUGAAGGUUUUCGGAUCGUAAAGCUCUGUUGUUAGGGAAGAACAAGUACCGUUCGAAUAGGGCGGUACCUUGACGGUACCUAACCAGAAAGCCACGGCUAACUACGUGCCAGCAGCCGCGGUAAUACGUAGGUGGCAAGCGUUGUCCGGAAUUAUUGGGCGUAAAGGGCUCGCAGGCGGUUUCUUAAGUCUGAUGUGAAAGCCCCCGGCUCAACCGGGGAGGGUCAUUGGAAACUGGGAAACUUGAGUGCAGAAGAGGAGAGUGGAAUUCCACGUGUAGCGGUGAAAUGCGUAGAGAUGUGGAGGAACACCAGUGGCGAAGGCGACUCUCUGGUCUGUAACUGACGCUGAGGAGCGAAAGCGUGGGGAGCGAACAGGAUUAGA
Molecule: ribosomal RNA, 725 nt
Filed under: Bacillus spizizenii ATCC 6633 = JCM 2499
Lineage: Bacteria; Bacillati; Bacillota; Bacilli; Caryophanales; Bacillaceae
Description: bacterial SSU rRNA
Rfam family: Bacterial small subunit ribosomal RNA
Source: RNAcentral